GUCAAAACAGCCCAAUUAGGGCGCUCAACUUCAAACCUGAUGGCAAUAUCCUUACACCCGGAUCACAAAUCAUUCUGGUUUGUUCAUUCGAGUUGAUUCCUAGUGAACUCAGUAGCAUACGCGUUAGGGUUUUAUCUGCUUCGCUCGCAACGGUAACAUCUUUCUGUCCCUUUCUCCACAUUCACAUUUAUAAUGUAAUUGCAGCUUUCUAAAUGUGAAAUUGAACUCUUUUGAAUGUUGCUUUGUGUUAAAUUUGGUUGCUUUCGAAAUUAUUUGAAUUGAAUGUCAUUGAAAUUUUACUAUUUCGCUUUGAUUUUGAUUUUUCUGUGAAAUUCUCUUUUAAUUUUCUCCGUUGAUAAAAGAUGUUAAUUUUGUGGGUUUGGAUCCGUGAAGUGUUUUCCUAUGAUUUUACGGAAUUAGGGAUAUCAUUGGGCCUUAUUAGAUGUUGAAAGCGAGGAAAGUUUCUGGAAGAGGAGAAACAGUAGGAGCAAAUUAUGCUUUUGGUCCUCUUGAAGAUGAUGUAAUCAUAAAGCAUAGGCUUCUCACCCGCACCACCACCACAAGGGGGGAGCCCCCAUUAAAGAAGCUUCAGAAGAAGUUCACCUCAUUUGUUGUUGAGAUUGAGAAAGAUGAAGAUAAUUAUAAUGACUGCUUGAGGCUUUCCAAAGCCUUCUUGCAGGAGCUUUCUACCUUUGAGAUUCCACUCCUCAAGAGCAAAGCAGUUAUUGAUUCAAACCGAAGAGAGAAGGAGAAUUUUAAUGAGUUGAUGGAUGAGAUAAAUAGUCAGAUUUCACAGGCACAAUCUGAUAUUGAAGAUUUGAAGAAGCAGCUUGAGGCUAGUAAAAUUGAAAGGCAGCACAAGGAAGAGUGUGAGGCGAUCAGAAAAUUGAUUGCUAUGCAGCCACCAAGGUCGGAGACACAGAAAAUUAUACAAGACUUAGAGAAAGAGAUUGCAGCAUUGGAGGCAGAGAACACAGCUGGUUCAAGGUUACUGGAGCUUCGUAAAAAACAGUUUGCUCUUUUGUUGCACGUGGUAUGUUGCAUUUUUAUUUUUUGCUUUUAUCAAUUUUCAAUUUCCUUGGUUAUUGUGAUAGAUUUUGUGUUUCGCUUAUGAAUUGAAAAUCUUUUCUGCUUUAUCAUUUGGAUCAGAUCAUCAGAUUACUUGUUUUCUGUCAUUUUAGGAUUUUUAUAGCAUCUUGAUCAUGACUCCUUAUUUUUGUAUAACUACUUUGCAUUACACUCCUGAGCACAGGCCUCAGUUUCUUAAUUUUUGCGCCUCUUUUGGCCAAUCAUAUUUUCUUUUGUUUUGGCCCUUGGACUCAUUACAGAAGUUUGGUAUCUCGACAGAAUUAAGAGAUACCCGUUAGAACUACAGCUAAAUGCAAGAGGGCUCUAAUGUCACUGCAGAAGCUGAGUCAAUAAUAAAUUGGAGCUUGGGAUUCUAUCUGGAUUCUUAAUGGGUUGUUUGCAAAUGUGCAUGCCAUCUUUUUAAACCAUUGAUAGUAAAGGAGCAUGAAUUGGAUUAAAGUAUUCUGGGUGCAAUUGAACAGAUAUUCCCCCUUUGUUUCAUUUUUGCUUUAGUCUUUUUGUUGAAAAAGAUGAAUUUUUUUUUCUCAAAUAACUUUUAGUCCAUGUGUCAGCAGCAUGUCCUGGAGAACUUUUUUUUUUUUUUGAAGAAAAAGUGUGUAAGAAAUUUACCUGUAUCUUAUUAAUUGAUGUUGCAAGUGUUAUUGUCAAUCCAUGACUCUUGCAUAUAUUAAUUUAAAUGAGCUGUCUUAUUGAUAUACUUUUGAACAUUUGUAUUUGGAUUUGUCUUAACAUGGCAAUAAUGUAUUUAGAAUGCAAUAUCUCCACUUGCUAAGCUACUUGUUAUAAAUUUGCUCCGCUUUUUGUCCCUGGUCAUUGUGUUUAACAUCUCUGCAGGUUGAUGAGUUGCAAAAUAAUAUAGAGGAAGAUCAGAAGAAUUUGAUGGAGGAGAUGAGAAUGGCAACGGAAGAACAGAAAAAUGGGAUGGAGGAUGCCAGUGGUGGCUCAGAAGCCAUGACUGUUGAUUAGUGACCUAUUUUGUCCAUCUUGCAAUUGGAGAGUGUAUUUUUUUUAAAUAUCUUAGACGCAUAAAUUUUCUUUGCCGGUCCAAAACGAGAAGUGUAGUUGCAUAUAAGAGUUUUCCCCUACUGUUGUUACAUAUUAGCAACAUAUUGAAACUGAAAAUGUUCUAUAGCUGUUGUUCCUGCUUAUUCCAUAUCAAGUUGUUGGAAUUAUGAACUUUGCUAAAAAUCUGUAACCACCUCAGCUCACCACAAAAUUCCCAGGUUUUCCUUUGAUUUAUUCUUCUAUUAGAGUUUGCAAUGCUGUUCUUUCUACCAAUUUAUGAAUGCAUGACAUUGUUGAUAUUUGUGUAGCUGUCAAACCAACAAGGAAAGGAGGAGAGUUACUGACGAGGACAGGCAGUAAGUUCUAUAAGGUUUCUCUCUGCAAAUUCUCACCAUCUAUUUAAGUGGUAUUAGUAACUGUUGUUCUUAAAAUGUUGGUGAAAUGUGCAAAUGGAUUAAUUUCCUCAAGCUUUGAAUAAUGAGUUAAAUUCAGGGUUUGCUUUCUGUGGUGGAAAUGGAUGCAUUUACCCGUCCUGUCUUGGAGAUUAAGGUUUUGCAGGUCCUGGCCUUUCUACAAGGCAAAUUUUGUUUAGGCAUAUUCUCGUUAUUCUAAGGCAAAUGUUCCUGAAAUAUGGAACUUGAGUUCACCCUUAUAUUGGAGUAUGUUGCAAAAACUAAGCAAUGAUAUGGUUGAACCAGUGAAAAUUCGUAUGCUAUGCCACCCCAGAGAAUUGCACGGAGGUGUAUUUCUUCUACCACAAAUUUCAAACUCCUUUUGAUCAGAGUUUGGUUAUGUUUAGUUCUUGAUUCUUUGCUCUAUUUAUGGCUUUGAUUAGUGUAUCAAGCAUCUAAGCUCGGAUUAAAGCCGAUGUCUCUAAAAGGUUGAAUAUAAUUUUGAUUUAACUGAUAUGCUUUGAUUGUAAUAGGUGGUUUUAUAGAAAAAAGCAUAAAAAAGUCUUGCUGUAAGGGGAAUAAUCAGUUAGCUUGGAACCUUAUGCAUGCUUCUCCCUGGAAUAUUAGUUUAUGCAUUUUAUGCAUAUGAACAAAAGAUGACUACAGCAAACUUGUUACCCAACUUAUUGAGGAUUGAUUGAGGUCCAGGAAGUUAUGCAUAUUUGGAUUUGCACUUGGUAAGAGAAGUGUUGGCAAUUUCUGCAACAUCAGCUGAUGGCUGGAUGCUAACAAUUCAAGCUUUCACUAGUCAUGUUGGUGAUUCAUCUUUUUGGUAUAAGAGAUUCAGACAUUUUGGUUAUGGUUCAUAUAAAAUUGAUGCAAAGCAAGUGCCUUGUAAUUGAUAUGAUUAUUGAAUGUGAUAAUGGAGAUUUUGUGGUGUGUGCCAAUUGCCUUUAUGAGUAAAUCAGGCAUGGAGAGGCUAUGAGAAACUCAAAUAGUCCAUACUGAUGGAUGUGCACCAAUGAAGACCUCUUCCUUG
This 3525-nucleotide unclassified non-coding RNA is filed under the name Hevea brasiliensis (rubber tree). The record is from RNAcentral. Lineage: Eukaryota; Viridiplantae; Streptophyta; Magnoliopsida; Malpighiales; Euphorbiaceae.